CAACUACUCCCUCUGUCCGGAAAUACUUGUCAUAAAAAUGAAUAAAAGGAGAUGUAUCUAGAUGAAUUUUAGUUCUAAAUACAUCCCUUUUUAUCCAUUUUGAUGACAAGUAUUUUCGGACGGAGGGAGUACAGG
Molecule: non-coding RNA, 135 nt
Organism: Triticum aestivum (bread wheat)
Lineage: Eukaryota; Viridiplantae; Streptophyta; Magnoliopsida; Poales; Poaceae
Source: Rfam